RNAcentral lists this ribosomal RNA (415 nucleotides) under uncultured bacterium. RNAcentral's name for it is "bacterial SSU rRNA". It matches the Rfam family "Bacterial small subunit ribosomal RNA", at positions 402 to 809 of the family's 1533-position model. The record is from RNAcentral.
UGAGUGAAGAAGGCCUUCGGGUUGUAAAGCUCUUUUGUCAGGGAAGAAACGGCUCAGGCUAAUAUCCUGGGCUAAUGACGGUACCUGAAGAAUAAGCACCGGCUAACUACGUGCCAGCAGCCGCGGUAAUACGUAGGGUGCAAGCGUUAAUCGGAAUUACUGGGCGUAAAGCGUGCGCAGGCGGUUUUGUAAGUCUGUCGUGAAAGCCCCGGACUUAACCUGGGAAUUGCGAUGGAGACUGCAAGGCUUGAAUCUGGCAGAGGGGGGUAGAAUUCCACGUGUAGCAGUGAAAUGCGUAGAGAUGUGGAGGAACACCGAUGGCGAAGGCAGCCCCCUGGGUCAAGAUUGACGCUCAUGCACGAAAGCGUGGGGAGCAAACAGGAUUAGAUACCCUGGUAGUCCACGCCCUAAACGA